This is a long non-coding RNA of Homo sapiens (human), 389 nucleotides long. RefSeq lists it as uncharacterized. The record is from RefSeq and is a predicted model, not a curated record. NCBI's taxonomy places the organism in Eukaryota, Metazoa, Chordata, Mammalia, Primates, Hominidae. The transcript is spliced from 3 exons.
UACUUAAUAUUUCAAAACUGAACUUGAACCUUUUCUGUGAAACUUAUUUGUCCUCCUGUAUUUCCUACUGAAGGACACAACCAAAUAAAAAGAGUUAAACUGGAAGAAAACCAUAGUUCCACCAUCAAGAUUCUAAAUGAGAGGACUACACUUUCCCAUCAUGAAUGUGAAAAUCUUUUUCCUUUUUUAAAAUCAGAAGACUAUAUUGUUAGGCUCAUAUGAUUUCAUAUUAUAUUAUCACAUUAUUCUUGUUAAUGUUCUUUGGCUUAAAUUCUCUUCUGGCUAAUAUCAAUAAACACCUGCUUUAUUUUGGGAAGAGGGAAUUUGGGCAGUCUCUUGGCAAAAGGAAUAUUUGACCCAGUGUUUAUUUGGAGAGAAGAAACUCACAG